Long non-coding RNA from Gallus gallus (chicken), 549 nucleotides. The record is from Ensembl. Lineage: Eukaryota; Metazoa; Chordata; Aves; Galliformes; Phasianidae.
CUGGAAAAUAAAUGAAAUGCAUAAUCUUUAUUAAAUGCUGUUAUAAGCAAACUAAGGAUGUUAGUAUGCUAUUGCUUUGUUACUUUAGAUAUAUUGAAAAGUGGCUUGAUCUCCUUACAGGAGCCUCCUGAUACUUGUUCAAUUUGUCAAGCAGGUAACCUGGAAAAGAUACCCCUGUCUGAAUCAGUCCCAGUGCUUGAGAAGACAGAUUUGGGAACUCAUAUUAUGUCAUUCAUCUACCUUGACUUCACAAGAAUGGACACUUCUCAGUAAAGGAGAACAGAUACUUUCUGUCUAAGCCAGCAGAUAGAAGCAGCACAGAUGUCACCCUCCCUAAUUUAUCGAUUGUAAUCCUUCAGCGAGGCCAGGAUAGCUGAAGCAAUAGCUGUGGAGGCCUUACCACCAACAAAACCCUGCCCCACACCUACGGAGAAAACUAGACCCCGACUUACAGGAUUUGUGGUAAACAGCCAUAAACUGUUCCAUCUGUGCUGGUGCAGGUGCUGGGAUCUCCAGUAGACAGGUGAGAUUUCAAACAUGAAGAUUCAG